RNAcentral lists this long non-coding RNA (4124 nucleotides) under Chrysemys picta bellii (western painted turtle). Its description in RNAcentral is "lncRNA (ENSCPBG00000024058.1)". The record is from RNAcentral. Lineage: Eukaryota; Metazoa; Chordata; Testudines; Emydidae.
AUGACCUGUGGAAUUGGCCAAAUGACAUUAUGCAGUAGCCAAAACAGACACGGAAAACAGAAUCCAGUGUUCUCUUUGGCACAUGCCCACUCUGCAGUGCCUGAGGCUCCCAGGCCUCACCCCUUUGGGCACUGGUCUCAUAAGCUAAGCAAGGUUGGCUGUUCUCUGUGCUUGCCUGGGAGACGCCUGAGGAAGAUUCAUGGCGCUGUGGAAAAUGAGGUGGAGCUGCAGUAGGGGGGCACUCCUCUUCCCAUGGAAUCAAUCUUGGACCCUGGUUCCAGUCAGAUGAAAACAGGCACCAUCUUGUGUUUUUCAAUGAAAUUGAUAACCCAGGUCCUUGGCUCUUUGCACUCAUCAAGGAUCCCAUGGUACUUAAGCUAGCAUCCCACCCCCAUUCAUUCCAUCUGGCCCUGAUACUCUGAUUCACUUCCUGCCCUAAACUAUGUAAAGUUAAAAUGCUAUGGUGUUACACUUCUCAGCAGGCUCUGGUUGAUCUGUGGGCAAAGCAUUUUAGAUAAAGACCAAACCUUCCACCUGCUUGUGCAAAUAUGGGUGGCUGCAGGCAAAAGGGAUGCCUCCUCUUUCUGACGUAAGUGGUGGUAUACCUCAUCUACGGAGAAGUUAACGGGGUCCCAGAAAGGUUAUGUGAACUCAAGAGACCUGACUCCCAGUUGCUUGUUCUAGUGGUAAGAUUAUAAACCACCUUACCCCAGCUGCUAUUCCACAUCUCUUCAGUCCCUUUGUCUAGGCUCUGGUCUUAUGAAAGAAAUUGCAUCUAUUUCUCUUGGGGUGACACCAUGGGAGUCAAGGGCACUUAGCAGCUCCAGGACCUACUCAGUACCUCGCCCGAUCAAGCCCCUAGCAACUAGAACACUGUGGGCAAAUGGAACAAAUUGGCUGAUGUGGCUGCUGACUGAUUUCACAUUUAACUAACCACCACCAUUGCUGACACUUCUCCACAGCACAUCAGGGCUUCUCCCAAACCUCAGCCUGGUUUUCUUGGUCUCCCGAGUUCACAAGAGACCAGGGAAUGGGUUAAUGUGACUCUGCCCCUUUCUCUAGGGAUUGCUAAUACACCAGGGAGUGAGGAAAGCUAUUCAUUUAGUUGCAGCAGUCCUCUAAAUGUUGCUAGGCUGAUAUGCAAACCCCAGGCCUCCAGCAGGAAACAUUCAGUCUCCACAAGUGUCUGAACCCGAUAAAACACGCUGGCCGGUGACUGUAGUGACUUCAGGCCACUGCCUUCACCAGGCAGUUUAUCAAGAGCAGCAAAUGUUUUAAAAUGAGACUUAAUGGCAGUAAACGGGUUGUUGGGUCAGCCCCCUUUGACCUCACAUGUUACAUCGGGAGAGGUGCAUCUUUCUUUAGUAAAGGAGAAACUCCAGUGGGAUUUGAGUCUUGAGGGGGAUGCCAGCCUACCGCUGGGAGAAAUCUCAUGAGAACAACUGAGCUCCCACAGUAUGCAGCAGCUGGGACCGAAAUAUCAUGAGACAAGCAGUGAGAGUUUGGUGCUGUUCAACCCAAAGCUUCGAACUGGCCUGGCCUCUAGGCCCCUGAUCUGCUGCAAACACUGCGCUGUUAGUCCUCCUCUCAUACACACAGUGCACGUUACCACAGUCCAUGAGCAUGGUCUUAUUUGAACUCCUGCAUCGUUUUGUUGAAUCCUAGGUUCAAAGAGUUUUUAUGACUGAAAAUUCCAUCAGGUAAUCCUGCCCCUCUCCCGCUCCCCUUAAAAGUCAGAGCUACAGCCAUUUGUACCCACACGGCUCAAAGCUCACCCCUCUGAAGUCGCUAGUUCCUAGCCGUUUACACCAGGGAUCUUUCAUGUAAAUUCUCAGGCAUGUGACAUUCUGACCUUGAUCCUGGUGAGAAAGGAGAACUGCUAGGGGUCAAAGUGGGGAGGGAGCACAGAAAAAAAGGGUGCAGGAGGCCCUCCCUCUAACAGAGGGAUCUAAGGGGCUUUUGGGGUCUAGCCUGUCACUGGGUGAGGGGAAUGUUUUGUUCUCUUGAUAAAGGCAAAUACGCGGAAAAAAAUCUUAGUGCAACCAUCAAGUGUACUUUAAUUCUCAGCAUCCAGCAGCACUUGUCAACCCUGAGCAUAAACUAGGGCUCGUAAACUUCCCCAAGCAGCCUUGACCAAGUGGGGUAGCCCCUUAGCUCCACUUGAAAGUAGCCUCCACUGCAGCUUCUUCCUAGCAUUGUCUUCUCCAUGCACCCUCCACCCCUGCAGUCUUGUGGGCCCUCCCCAUCCCCCAUUUUAAAACUCCUAUAGUACUUAGUGGUAUGCCUCCAAUUCCCAUUAGUAAGCCAGCGUGCAAAUACACACCUAGGAUAUUGCAUCAGACUCCUCUCAGCGCUUUACAAUGUCAAACAGCAGUUCAGUACCUGGUAAACAGAUACACCCCCUGUCAGUCCUGCACACAUUGCUCCUAGCUACUCUUGGAUAUGCUAGAUGCCCUUGUUCAUCUACAGCUGGAGCAGGCGAGCUUUAGUUGAACAGGCUACACAAAGUACAACUUGCCUCAGAGAGAGGAAGCUACUGUCCAGUUUCAGCCCUUAGUCAUGAGCCCAUUCAGAUACAUUGGUUCUAGGUUUCAUCCCAAAGGACAGGGGAAGAGGGACAGUCAUUCUUUUGGUGUGAAGCUUCCAAAUGAGAGUUACAUUAGAGACUGGGAAUGUUCCAGGAGCUUGGCAGGUGUGUAGACUUUUCCUGUGCAGGACCCUGUAACAAUCCAGAGGCUGAAACCUCUUAUUCCUACAUCAGCAUUAGCAGAUUGCCUUUUGAACCAGCCCCUCCAACGGAGGGAUGGAUCUAAGGGGGCUUUUGGGGUUCUAGCCUGGCACUGGAUGAGGGAAAUGUUUUAUUGUCUUGAUAAAGGCUAAACAUUUCACUUUCCAUUGUGCGGGUCACUACUCCGUUUCCACCUGGAAAGCUCUACAGGGUGGUUCAUUGUUAUUCCACCAAGCCACCGCUGGGUUUUCACAAACAGGGAGCUGGCAGCCUAGACAAUUGUUUUGAUGUGGCUUUUUCUAGAAAUAAGCCUGGGGCAAAACUGAUCUGGAUCCAGCAAUCUAUUUCUAUAAUGGGCUGAAUAUUUAUUGAAAGGGAGACAUCUGGGUCAGUUUUCCCUUGUAACUAUUGCUUCCUGUUUUGGGCACCUGUUAGGAAGUUGGAGGUAAUGGGAAAAAUCUCUUUUAUUAAGCAAAAGGUACACUGUAGUACAGCUUUUUCAUUCACAAAUUAGUCUUCCUAUUGGCUUCAGGGGGAGCUAGGUGAAGAUCCUGGGGGAAGACAGACUACAUUUAGCACUCCGCAUACUGAAUUCAAAGGAGCUUGGCUUUAGUGAAGAACAAGGAAUGCUGACAAGAGGUGCAGGGAGAAAAAGAGGCACUUACACAUCAACAGAUUUGGGUUUUGUGACCACCAAAACCCUUGAACAAAAAAGGCUUGAGGGAGAAAAAUAUUGCUAAAUAAUCUGUUGCCCUUCUAGUAUUUCUAAACUAGUGACUUCUCAGACCAUGAUCCUCCCCCCAGCGUAGAAUCAUAUUGAGACAGUAUUCAUUGGGGUGCUGCGCUGUCACUACCACAUAAAAGUCCUGGGGCAGCCAAGAACCUAAUUACUUACACAAAAAAAGUUCUAAUUUUAUGCUUCUCUCCCCUGCCCCCUACCCUGAGUGAGCUGGAGCAAUGCUGUAUGAAAUUUAUCUGCAGCCUGAAACAACAGCAGUGACUAGAGUAAAUCAAUGUCUACUAGUCUAAAGGGGGUGUUUAGUCUGAAGCAUAAUAAUAACAACCCUAUAAAUGUCAAUAUUGUUACCUAUUUUACUGCUGAAAAGGUGUAGCAAAAACCAUCCAGCUAGUCUAGGAUAAUGGGUGGGAGCUGGGAUUGUGGGUAGAGUAUCACCACUUCUUUUGCCCCUAACCUGACACUCCCACUAAUGAUUUUAUGCAUCAGAAUCUUCUUAGCAGCAGCAUGUGGUAGUGCUAAAACACAAGGAUGGCUUAAGUCUUACUUUUUCAGUGACCAGCAAUAGAAGAAAAAGUCAAGAUAAGAAAAAAAAAAGUUCUUUGUAGAUGUUUAUAGAGGUGAAAUAAAAGGAAAAUUAAAACAUGUUUAAAUAGAUUC